UAGGGAAGUCUUCGGCAAUGGGGGCGAACCCUGACCGAGCAACGCCGCGUGAGUGAAGAAGGUUUUCGGAUCGUAAAGCUCUGUUGUAAGAGAAGAACGUGUGUGAGAGUGGAAAGUUCACACAGUGACGGUAACUUACCAGAAAGGGACGGCUAACUACGUGCUAG
RNAcentral lists this ribosomal RNA (167 nucleotides) under uncultured bacterium. RNAcentral describes it as "partial 16S rRNA". It matches the Rfam family "Bacterial small subunit ribosomal RNA", at positions 355 to 511 of the family's 1533-position model. The record is from RNAcentral.